GGCGGUUCACAGGUGACUCACCCCGGAAUUUGGCUCCCUCCUCUCUGGUUCUAGGUACAUCACCUGAGAAUCGCA
Myotis brandtii (Brandt's bat) is the source of this 75-nucleotide non-coding RNA. NCBI's taxonomy places the organism in Eukaryota, Metazoa, Chordata, Mammalia, Chiroptera, Vespertilionidae. The record is from Rfam.